This is a non-coding RNA of Rhopilema esculentum, 13053 nucleotides long. NCBI's taxonomy places the organism in Eukaryota, Metazoa, Cnidaria, Scyphozoa, Rhizostomeae, Rhizostomatidae. The record is from RefSeq and is a predicted model, not a curated record.
AGAUAACCAUUUUAACAAACAAUCACCAAAUCUCUUUAAAUGCUACAGCUGAUGUCUUGGCAAACUUUUUGGAGACAGAUGUUGCCUAAACAUACAAAGAAUUUCCUUGGGAGCUUGAAGAUAAAAUUCUGGAGCUUGAACAAAUCGAUAUAGACUUUAACAGUAAAAACAACCAAAUUACCCGAAUUUCUCAUCAUCAAAGCUUCAAUGAACAAGUGUUUAUACAAAGUUAUUUCACAAUUGUCAGUCAAGUCUGGUGAUGUUUGCUCUGCUGCAUGUACUUGUCCUGCUGUUAUUGGUCUUCGUGGUUUUGGCAACUGUAACCAUGUUGGAGGUGUUUUCUUUGCUCUUGAAGACUUCAACAGACGUGGUUUACGAGAGUAUUCAUCUGCUGUAUCAUGCACUUCAAAGCUGUCUUCUUAGAAUGUUCCAAAUGCAUCUGCUCUUAAAUCAAACAAUUCCUCUCCAAAAGAUGAAGUGAUAAUACAAAAAGUCAAGUUUUGAAAGGACAAUGAUAAAAGUAAUUUGUCUCGCUACAAAUUCUUUGAUCCACAUGCUCGAUCUGAUAAAGCUAUCAAUGAUAAAAGACUUGAAGCCCUUAAAACGAAAUUGGCAGAAGCUUUAACAAACAGUGGUUUUUUGGCUUUCAUGAAAUUUCUGAACCUGCAGAUUCUGACACAUUUGCUUCAACUGAGGCUUCUGCAUCCAAUCUUGAACAUCUUUUCUUCUAUGAAUCCAUCUCCUUAAAUGAAUAUUACGAUAUUUCAACUUCCUCCUUCAGAGAAAUGAUGGACAAUUAUUGCUAUAAUACAAUAUUGUCCCAAGAAGAAAUUUCCAAUAUUGAGAAAUCAACACAUGGUCAAGCUUCAAAUGAUGAUUGGAAAAAGCAUCGUAUGUAUCAAAUCACUGCACCCAACUUUUACUUUGCUGCUGUAAACUCUGCUGAACCUUCUUCCAAGCUUAAAUCUAUAUUUUAUAAAUCUUUCACAAUGGCUGCAACUUGCCAUGACCAGAAACACGAAGCACAUGUUGAAGAGCUCUAUAUAAUGCUACUGAAAAAUAAAGGUAUUGAUGCUCCUCAAGUUUCUGAAGUUGGUCGGCAAUUGUCUUCCUCAUCUUGGUGCUUCAUUAGAUGGUGAAGUCACUUACAAAAAUGAAACCUGGAGAUUUGAAAUCAAAUGUCCAUUCUCUGAGUUCAACAUGUCUCUUCAAGAAGCUCUGAAGAAUAAGAAGUUCUUUCUUGUUGAAGUUGGAGCAAGUCCAUCCAUUGACGAGGAGCAGGAAGAAGCAAGAUCAACAAAAGAGCCUGUUAAAUUAAAACCAAACAGGAAGAGGCAAAACUGAAGAAGAAUAUAAAUUGAUACAAGGUUUGGCACAAUCCAUUGCUGAAAGAAAAGCAAAGGCACAGAAAACCAGCAAACAGGCAGCUUGAUGCAUUUGGACAAUAUGUGACACAAACAUUAUCUGAACUUGACACUAGAGUUCAACAUUUGGCUCAACAUAAAAUCAAUCAAAUCCUUUCCAGGCACAAACUGGUUUAUUAGCUCAAGAAAACCCAUAUGGAUCUAUUGUGCCUCUACCACCACAACCACAUUUUUUCCAACGAGAUAAUUCCAGUUAUAGUAUGACAGGCAUAACCAAUCAGGCUGUAAGCACUCAUUCCCAGUUUAACAGUAAGGAGCCAUGUCCAUCAUCCCACUCUUCAUGCCAGACCUUUAGUGCCCCCGAAGACAUCUGGAGGUUUCAAAAUAUAAAAAGUGGUGACAUGCAAGCCGAUAAACAACUUUGAUUAAAAAUACUGUCCAUUGAAUGAUCAUUGCAAUAAAAAUAGAAAUAAUACGAUUUGCUUGUUUUAUUUAGAAUUUGAUUCCCUUCCAAUAAUCGUUAACGUUGUGUUAUAUAGAUUACACACCUUUAGAUAUUCAUCUUUCAGUUUCAUGUACAAUGCUUUACAAGUUUCCUCCACAAUUGAUGAAAUUGUCCGUUCUCCCACCCGAUACUGAAAGAACAGACUCCUGAAUGUCUCACCUAAAUUGAAUUGACAGGCCAUCAGUACUUUUUUAUAUUAAUUUGUUAAUUUUGUGCAAUAGGACCAAGUUUGCACCGGAAGGCAACUUUAGACAAAAUAUUGGGUACACUGACAGGAGUGGGUGCUAAAAAAUGGCCAAAUUUUUUUCAGGUUUCCAUGGCUAACUACCUUUGAAAACCAAAUGUGAACUUUUUGUGAUCGCUUCUUUUUGAAUUAAGUGCUCCAAUGUCAUGACUUUUAAAGUGGAUUAAGCCAUUCAGCAGUGGGAUAGAUUUUAAGAGUUAUUGGAAGGAGAACUUCCCUCAUAAUGAACACUGUACUUCCAAAUAAACUUGAUAUUUGCUUAAUCGUGUACCCAACCUCCUGUCUAGGGGGGUGGAAUCACUUUAUGAUGGUAAUGAAAAGGGUACCUGGGGUCAUCAACAAGGGUAAACAUAUGUAGUCAUAUGCUUCAGACAGAAGGGGAAAUUCCCCUGGCUACUGAGCUUCAGUUAGCUGAAUUUAAUGCUUAGGACAUAUACACAGCUUUACAAGAUGAUUGUUUACAAAAGUUGCUUAAAUUUAAAAAAUAAAAGCCAGGCUCUAAUUUCUUCUUGGAUGCAAAAUGUUGCUAGGCUCAAAUGCUUUAGUAAAGGUUGGCAAAUUGCAACUCAAAUAUCAACAACCUAACUGAAGAGAUACCUGUAGCAAGGAACUGCAGAGUUAUUGAUAAGCGCUCAGAUGGCUUUAUUGUACUUCUUUUAUGGGUUUCUUUCUUUGAAAUUAAUGGACUAACUUUAACCAAUAUUACAUUAAAUUCUUCUCUAUUUACACGAUGAUAUUUACGAAACAGUUCGGAAUCUUCACUGUUCAAUUCUCCAAUUAUAUUUGCAUGGGCUUCUCUUAUUUCUCUCCUUAUAACCCAGGGCCUUGACCAUUCCUGCCGAUUUGCCACUCGCAAACGCCUACGAUAUCGUCUCAUAAGCAACAUAAAAACAGAACCUCUUCCCUUUCACAAUUUUCAUCAGUAUAUCCUGCCAUUUUGUUUUAGUUUUUCCCAGGAAACGAAUGCGUUUUGUUGACUUAUUGCAAGCUUGCUACUUCUGGUUCAGCGCACACAGGAGAAAGUCACUCGUGGCGAAAAUUAUUCAACAUGUUGAAUUUUCAUGAGAUGAGUCACAAGUGACGAAAAAGCUCAUUAAAGUCCACCGCACACUAGUCUUUCCUGCUUAGCACGCUGAAUGACUUUUUGCUCAGCAGAAAGCUCUUAGUGUGCGCCAGGCUUGAGAUUAUUCAAAGAAAGGUGAGAAACUACUUCACAGAUUUCUCAUUCACAUAAAGCACAUUAAUUUUUAUUGUCAAUUGAAAUGACAAUAUUUGUAAUCCUUAUAGUAUUCACUUGUAUUUCUUCCUAGAUAAUUCAGAAGUAACAAAGCCAGAUUACAAUAUACAAUGAUGUUGUUCAAUUUGUUAGAGGUUUUUUUAUGCCAGUGCUGAAGUGAUCAGUAGUAGUAGUAAUAGUAAAUCAAUUCCUGGUAAAAAAAAUUGUAUAUCGAUUAGGGUACAUGGUGUGAAGGAAACGGUUCAAAAGAGGUUGUGCACUUUAGAAGAAGCCUAUUUGAAAUUCAAAGAAGAAAAUCAAGUAUCGAUUGGAUUUUCAAAUUUCUGUGAAUUGCGACCAAAGAAUGUUGUUUCAACAGGGGAUAGUGGAGCACAUAGUGUUUGUGUCUGUAUCAUUCACCAAAACCAUAGCUGAUGCUGAUCAAUGAAAAAUGACUCAGACAUUUUUCAAUUGCCUGAAUUUAGAAGUUUGGUUGGUGACUGAUUCAAUAGAAGGUCAGCUACCAGCAAUUGCUUUCUUGGGAACUGCAAAAACUGUUGAAAAACAGAACUGGCAGAAAUUUUGAGCGAUUAGAUGCUGAGGAAAUAACUUUCAACUCAUGGAUAGGUGUUGAUCGAACAAGCCUUGAAACUUUGAAACUUCAACAAAAUCUACUUGUGAUUUCACAAAUUAUCUUCUUGAAAGUCUUUUAAAACUGAAGCUUCAUGAUUUUAUCACUAGACUUCAAAGAAGCAAAAAAGAAAUUCAAGCCACAUGAAGCUAUAAUUCUUGGAGACUUUGCAGAGAAGUAUUCUUUUAUUAUGCAGGAUGCUGUACAAGGCUUCCAUUGGAAAAAUAGACAAGCCUCCAUUCAUCCUUUUGUUAUCUACUAUCGACAGAACCCUGAUAGUCAGAUGGAAAUUUUUGUAGUUAUUUCUGACUGUCUCGGUCAUGACACAGCUGCAGUGCAUGCAUUUCAGCAAAAAUGAAUAAAACACUUAAAUGAAAAAAUGGAACUGGACAAAGAUGUAAAACAGAAAAAAUAGAAAAGUUGUAAACACAGAAAACAUUUUAGUACUCUGAUUUUCUAUGAAAAAGAUUUUGGUAUGCCUGUUGAAUGGCUCUUUUUUGCCAACAUCUCAUGGCAAAAGUCCAUGUGAUGGAAUAGGUGCUACUGUCAAACGACUUGCAGCAAAUGAAAGUUUACGCCGACCUUAUUCAAGCCAGAUCCAGACUCCUCAACAACUUUAUGAAUGGGUACGUGAUAGCAUUACAAACACAGUUUUUGUAUAUGUUACUGAAGAGGAAAUAAAAGAAAAUGAAAGAAAUUGGAAAACUAUAGCUACAUUUUUUUAUUCCCGUCAAUGGGAGUACUACAGAAGUAUUGACAAAAUUGUAUUUAUUCAAGGAACAUGGAAAAAAGCAACCUUGUCAGAUUUGGUUGAAAGAUAAGUUAUGUCUUGGCAGUUAUCCACAGCUUGUGUGGCUUGUGUUUCUGGUGAAAAGUGGAGGUUGACGUAUUUGUUAGAUAAAGUGUAUCAUACCAAUGAAGUAAAGGUCAAAUUUCUCCACCCGGCAAGUCGUGUUCUGCCAUUUAUUUACCAGAGACUUUACGUGAUGGUGAAGCAUGCAAAGACCAUGAUGAAGAAAUCAAUGCUGCCCAGAAAGAAUGUGGGCCACAUAGGAAAAGGGAAGACAAGACAAGUUUAUCAAUAAGGGAAAAAGCACCCUUGCAAUAUUACAAGGAAGCAGUUAAGCUGGAGUCCAGAAAAUUGUGAAGAUUUUCUCAAGCAAUUCAAGGUGUCUUUGAAGUUGCUGCUGCGCAAGUUUGUACGACUUCUUCCAACAGAGCAUGCUAAGCCAAUGGAAUCAGAUGUCAGUCCUAAGCAAAUAGCACAAUGGUAACUAUAGUUAGAAACUUCAAAUAUGCAUACCAAGGAGGAAGAAAUCGUCUUGUAAGACCUAAUUCGUAGUACAUCUUUCAGAUAUAUUUGUAUAUCCUUCUUCCAACAAAAAGCAACUUGUUGACAGACUGUGUUAGUUCAUUUUCCAACUAUUUCACUGACUUUAAAGAAUGGCCUUCAGGAUAGUUUUUUGAUACUUUGUUUCUCUUGACUGGAGAAAUUGUUAAGGAGCUAGUCCUCAAUGUUAGGAAAUUCUAACUGAUGCCAGAGUUAACACCACAUUAGCCAUAUAUCAGAUCCAGAAGUUCUACUCUUCUUUAUCCAGACUGAUUUACACAGGUUCUUGCCUUCUGCAGCUUUUGGAUUUACAAAUUGAUGUCAGCCUGUUUAGCUACCUAAUCACAACCAAUGACAUUGCUAAAAAAUACGCACGCAUGGAGGAUGAAAUUGAGAGGCUCCUGAACUGUGUAAAAGAGAAGACACUCUAUGCACAGUACAUUAAUUACUGGACGUUCAAACAAAAUCAUGCUUUACAAGUUUAUCUUGACAGCCCAUUAUCAAAAUUAGAUAUUCAUUACCAGCUUAAUUUUUCACUUAAUAUGAUUGAUCUUUACUAAAAAUACAUUUCCUUAAAAUUCCCUAAUACAUUAGCCUAAAUAUAGAUUAUAAACACCAAAAACAUCUUUAUCAAUUAUAGAAUAUCCAAUCUCAUUAGACUGUCUAAAAAUAAUCUGAAAAUAUCUCCAUCUAGAGCGAAAAGUACCUUACAUUCUUCCUUGAUGUUUCAAUGUUCAAUACGAUUUAUAACAUCAUCAAAAACCCAAUUAUAAUUACUCAUACCGCCUAUCUCUAUACAAACUGCCAUCUUUCCAACCCUAACAAUCAUUCGCAUUGUUGCAAGUCUCACAAAGAAGUUGCCAAUAACAAAGGACAGUUCAAGCUCAAUUUGCCCAGGGUAAGUGUGCAAGAUCAUAUUGUACUAACAUUUUAUGUCAAACUUUGACCUUUCUGCAUCAAUAACUUUGCUUCUGCGAAGUAACUGAUGCUUAUUCUCGUCUUGCACUGUUCUCAGCUUUCUUUCUAAUCCAUGGAUUGAGAACUUAUAUCCCUUUUCUUACAAUUUAGAUAUUUCUGUGCCGUUUCUAAAAUUUAGUACAAAUUGAUUUUCAUAAUUUUAAUACAAACAGCACCCACAAUUUUAUUCAGCUUUCAGAUCCUAAGUUAUGAAAACAUAGUUACUAGCAAUGGUGUAGUGCUAUCAAAGUAACAAGGCGAGCUCAUGCACAAAAUGUUCUCAAAAACAAUAACGAAAGUACAAUUUUGGCAAAUUUCAGGCGUUAACAAGUUGUAUCAGGAUCCCUGCACUACACCUUUGAUUAGAAGACCUUUCAGAAAUCACUUUUAACAAAUACUCGUCUUCUUUCAUUAAUUAUCAAAAUUUUAUAUUUUUAGUCAACAUAAGUUCACCACCGCAAAAGAAAAAGUUUCUUCCCAGCAGUACUACAAGCCCGCUCCAGUUUCCUCCCAGCCAAAGUUAUUCAGGAUAUAUAACUAAUGUCUCCGAAGAAAAGGACACAACUCCAGGAGAUCCCUAUUUUACAAUUCAAUUAAAAGUUUCCGCAACAGAACAGAUAGCAUGGAGAGUAAAGAAGAAAUGGAACAAAGAUGUAAGCCAGGAUAUCUUCAUCCAAAAACAAAACGAAGGUGAACCUGUCACUUUAUGAAAUAUAACUACUGGCAGACAGGGCAUCUCCUUCUUCAAUUCCUUUCAGCGAAGUGACCUCCUUAAAUGUUCUUCCAAACAAAACUUUAAUCGUUCCAAACAGUUACCACUAACUGUCCAAAAAAUGAAAAAACAAACUUCCGGCCUCCAUUCUGUCCAGGGAGAGAUACAGUAGAUUGAGAAAAAAAGGUUAAUUCCCCUGAAUGAACCAUCUCCACCAAAAUAUGUGAGGGAUGCGGUUCUUUUAGACAACUCUGGCCAUGUUCAAAAUUCGUUUUGGAAUGAACAAAUAGAGCAAAUAGAGGAGCUUCAUACUUUAAACAUCAGCCACGUUGCUGUUAAACAGUACCAUGGCAUUAAAUUAUCAACAAGAAGCACAACAAUCAUAACAAAAAUUGACAGCGAAGAAACCUUCAAUUGGGAAUUUGUUGAUAUGGAAACAUACUUGUCAGAUGCCGUAGUUCAAAAGAAGGUCUUUUGCCCAGAGAUAAUAUCUACUAAAAUUUCCCUUAUCAAUACAUGCGUAAACAAAAACUGCACAAGAAAAUUAGCAACUACAAGGACCGAAAAGUUCAUAACGUGCCCAUUUUCCACUCGCCGCAUGCCAAUUGCAAAAAGCCCCCUCAUCUUAACAUGUGAGAUAACCAUUUCAACAAACAAUCACCAAAUCUCUUUAAAUGCUACAGCUGAUGUCUUGGCAAGCUUUUUGGAGACAGAUGUUGCCUAAAUAUACAAAGAAUUUCCUUGGGAGCUUGAAGAUGAAAUUCUGGAGCUUGAACAAAUUGAUAUCGACUUUAACAGUAAAAACAACCAAAUUACCCGAAUUUCUCAUCAUCAAAGCUUCAAUGAACAAGUGUUUAUACAAAGUUAUUUCACAAUUGUCAGUCAAGUCUGGUGAUGUUUGCUCUGCUGCAUGUACUUGUCCUGCUGGCAUUGGUCUUCGUGGUUUUGGCAACUGUAACCAUGUUGGAGGUGUUCUCUUUGCUCUUGAAGACUUCAACACACGUGGUUUACGAGAGUAUUCAUCUGCUGUAUCAUGCACUUCAAAGCUGUCUUCUUAGAAUGUUCCAAAUGCAUCUGCUCUUAAAUCAAACAAUUCCUCUCCAAAAGAUGAAGUGAUAAUACAAAAAUCAAGUUUUGAAAGGACAAUGAUAAAAGUAAUUUGUCUCGCUAUAAAUUCUUUGAUCCACAUCUGAUAAAGCUAUCAAUGAUGAAAGACUUGAAGCCCUUCAAACGAAAUUAGCAGAAGCUUUAACAAACAGUGGUUUUUUGGCUUUCAUGAAAUUUCUGAACCUGCAGAUUCUCACACAUUUGCUUCAACUGAGGCUUCUGCAUCCAAUCUUGAACAUCUUUUCUUCUAUGAAUCCAUCUCCUUCAAUGAAUAUUACGAUAUUUCAACUACCUCCUUCAGAGAAAUGAUUGGCAAUUAUUGCUAUAAUACAACAUUGUCCCAAGAAGAAAUUUCAAUAUUGAGAAAUCAACACAUGAUCAAGCGUCAAAUGAUGAUUGGAAAAAGCAUCGUAUGUAUCGAAUCACUACAUCCAACUUUUACUUUGCUGCUGUAAACUCUGCUGAAUCUUCUUCCAAGCUUAAAUCUAUGUUUAAUAAAUCUUUCACAAUGGCUGCAACUUGCCAUUACCAGAAACACGAAGCACAUGUUGAAGAGCCUUAUAAUGCUACUGAAAGAUAAAGGUAUUGAUGCUCCUCAAGUUUCUAAAGAUGGUCGACAAUUGUCUUCCUCAUCUUGGUGCUUCAUUAGAUGGUGAAGUCACUUACAAAAAUGAAACCUGGAGAUUUGAAAUCAAAUGUCCAUUUUCUGAGUUCAACAUGUCUCUUCAAGAAGCUCUGAAGAAUAAGAAGUUCUCUCUUGUUGAAGUUGGAGCAAGUCCAUCCAUUGACGAGGAGCAGGAAGAAGCAAGAUCAACAAAAGAGCCUGUUAAAUUAAAACCAAAAAGGAAGAGGCAAAGCUGAAGAAGAAUAUAAAUUGAUACAAGGUUUGGCACAAUCCAUUGCUGAAAGAAAAGCAAAGGCACAGAAAACCAGCAAAGAAGCAGCUAACCCCCUUGAUGCAUUUGGACAAUAUGUGACACAAACAUUAUCUGAACUUGACACUAGAGUUCAACAUUUGGCUCAACAUAAAAUGAAUCAAAUCCUUUUCCAGGCACAAACUGGUUUAUUAGCUCAAGAAAGCCCAUAUGAAUCUAUUGUGCCUCUACCACCACAACCACAUUUUUUCCAACGAGAUAAUUCCAGUUAUAGUAUGACAGGCAUAACCAAUCAGGCUGUAAGCACUCAUUCCCAGUUUAACAGUAAGGAGCCAUGUCCAUCAUCUCACUCUUCAUGCCAGACCUUUAGUGCCCCCGAAGACAUCUGGAGGUUUCAAAAUAUUCAAAGUGGUGACAUGCAAGCCGAUAAACUUAAAAACUUUAAACAACUUUGAUUAAAAAUACUGUCCAUUGAAUGAUCAUUGCAAUAAACAUAGAAAUAAUAUGAUUUGCUUGUUUUAUUUACAAUUUGAUUCCCUUCCAAUAAUUGUUAAUGUUGUGUUAUAUAGAUUACACACCUUUAUUCAUCUUUCAGUUUCAUGUACAAUGCUUUACAAGUUUCCUCCACAAUUGAUGAAAUUUCCGUUCUCCCUCCCGAUACUGAAAGAACAGACUCCUGAAUGUCUCACCUAAAUUGAAUUGACAGGCCAUCAGUAAUUUUUUAUAUUAAUUUGUUAAUUUUGUGCAAUAGGACCAAGUUUGCACCGGAAGGCAACUUUAGACAAAAUAUUGGGUACACUGACAGGAGUGGGUGCUAAAAAAUGGCCAAAUUUUUUUCAGGUUUCCAUGGCUAACUACCUUUGAAAACCAAAUGUGAACUUUUUGUGAUCGCUUCUUUUUGAAUUAAGUGCUCCAAUGUCAUGACUUUUAAAGUGGAUUAAGCCAUUCAGCAGUGGGAUAGAUUUUAAGAGUUAUUGGAAGGAGAACUUCCCUCAUAAUGAACACUGUACUUCCAAAUAAACUUGAUAUUUGCUUAAUCGUGUACCCAACCUCCUGUCUAGGGGGGUGGAAUCACUUUAUGAUGGUAAUGAAAAGGGUACCUGGGGUCAUCAACAAGGGUAAACAUAUGUAGUCAUAUGCUUCAGACAGAAGGGGAAAUUCCCCUGGCUACUGAGCUUCAGUUAGCUGAAUUUAAUGCUUAGGACAUAUACAGAGCUUUACAAGAUUAUUGUUUACAAAAGUUGCUUAAAUUUAAAAAAUAAAAGCCAGGCUCUAAUUUCUUCUUGGAUGCAAAAUGUUGCUAGGCUCAAAUGCUUUAGUAAAGGUUGGCAAAUUGCAACUCAAAUAUCAACAACCUGACUGAAGAGAUACCUGUAGCAAGGAACUGCAGAGUUAUUGAUAAGCGCUCAGAUGGCUUUAUUGUACUUCUUUUAUGGGUUUCUUUCUUUGAAAUUAAUGGACUAACUUUAACCAAUAUUACAUUAAAUUCUUCUCUAUUUACACGAUGAUAUUUACGAAACAGUUCGGAAUCUUCACUGUUCAAUUCUCCAAUUAUAUUUGCAUGGGCUUCUCUUAUUUCUCUCCUUAUAACCCAGGGCCUUGACCAUUCCUGCCGAUUUGCCACUCGCAAACGCCUACGAUAUCGUCUCAUAAGCAACAUAAAAACAGAACCUCUUCCCUUUCACAAUUUUCAUCAGUAUAUCCUGCCAUUUUGUUUUAGUUUUUCCCAGGAAACGAAUGCGUUUUGUUGAGUUAUUGCAAGCUUGCUACUUCUGGUUCAGCGCACACAGGAGAAAGUCACUCGUGGCGAAAAUUAUUCAACAUGUUGAAUUUUCAUGAGAUGAGUCACAAGUGACGAAAAAGCUCAUUAAAGUCCACCGCACACUAGUCUUUCCUGCUUAAAUGAUAAAUGAAAUGAUAAAAAACUGUGGUGUCAUCGAAUUAUAUUACACUGACCACAAGGCAGUUUAUGUUCCAAAGUAUUAAGUAAUUAGUUCUAAAAGAUACAAUUAUAAAGAAAUCAACCACCAGUCAACUCGAAAUGAGCAAAUGCUGUUGAAUUACCAGUGAGCAAUUCACCAACAAUGGUAACAAUUUGCCUCUGUCAUUGAAAAAUGUCUACUCUUUCAAGGACAAAAUCACAAAGGCCUUAGAAUAUUUAUAAACAGUGUUCUCGAAAACACUGAAUAUUUAAUAAGCAUUCAACUUGGUCUUGAUGCUUCACUUUUAGCCAAGUUCAGAAAUUCUUACAUCACUGAUUAUACAGUAUAUACCUAGAUACCUAUAGUUGCCUAUUUUUCAUCACAUUGAUUACUCAUAAAUAUUCCUAUGUGACACAUAUACAGUCUCAUUCAUCUUCAUUCUUAUUGAUCUGAAGAUUCAUAUCCAAACCAAAAUUCGAAAAGUUCUAACCAAAAGUAAGUAGGGUAUAAACUGUAAAUUUACAAGAACUUUUUAUCAUCUUAUCAGAUACGGCAAGGUAAUGAAAUAAGAGCCUAGAAAUUAGAUAUUCCUUCAGCAUGGAGAUCGUGAGUUCCCAUAUUUUCAAUCCUUAUCUUAUUAUAGAUAUAGAUAAAUUAUAGAUAACGGUAGCAUUUUUUAAAAGGAAGUCUGAAAAUUUCACUACAAAAUUACAUCAAUUCAAAAUUCUUCAACCAAGGAUAAUUGGUCUAAACAAUUAGUUAUAGAUUGUUUCUCUCAAUUUACAGGUUAUUCAGGAUAUAUAACUAAUGUCUCCGAAGAAAAGGACACAACUCCAGGAGAUCCCUAUUUUACAAUUCAAUUAAAAGUUUCCGCAACAGAACAGAUAGCAUGGAGAGUAAAGAAGAAAUGGAAAAAAGAUGUAAGCCAGGAUAUCUUCAUCCAAAAACAAAACGAAGGUGAACCUGUCACUUUAUGAAAUAUAACUACUGGCAGACAGGGCAUCUCCUUCUUCAAUUCCUUUCAGCGAAGUGACCUCCUUAAAUGUUCUUCCAAACAAAACUUUAAUCGUUCCAAACAGUUACCACUAACUGUCCAAAAAAUGAAAAAACAAACUUCCGGCCUCCAUUCUGUCCAGGGAGAGAUACAGUAGAUUGAGAAAAAAAGGUUAAUUCCCCUGAAUGAACCAUCUCCACCAAAAUAUGCGAGGGAUGCGGUUCUUUUAGACAACUCUGGCCAUGUUCAAAAUUCGUUUUGGAAUGAACAAAUAGAGCAAAUAGAGGAGCUUCAUACUUUAAACAUCAGCCACGUUGCUGUUAAACAGUACCAUGGCAUUAAAUUAUCAACAAGAAGCACAACAAUCAUAACAAAAAUUGACAGCGAAGAAACCUUCAAUUGGGAAUUUGUUGAUAUGGAAACAUACUUGUCAGAUGCCGUAGUUCAAAAGAAGGUCUUUUGCCCAGAGAUAAUAUCUACUAAAAUUUCCCUUAUCAAUACAUGCGUAAACAAAAACUGCACAAGAAAAUUAGCAACUACAAGGACCGAAAAGUUCAUAACGUGCCCAUUUUCCACUCGCCGCAUGCCAAUUGCAAAAAGCCCCCUCACCUUAACAUGUGAGAUAACCAUUUCAACAAACAAUCACCAAAUCUCUUUAAAUGCUACAGCUGAUGUCUUGGCAAGCUUUUUGGAGACAGAUGUUGCCUAAAUAUACAAAGAAUUUCCUUGGGAGCUUGAAGAUGAAAUUCUGGAGCUUGAACAAAUUGAUAUCGACUUUAACAGUAAAAACAACCAAAUUACCCGAAUUUCUCAUCAUCAAAGCUUCAAUGAACAAGUGUUUAUACAAAGUUAUUUCACAAUUGUCAGUCAAGUCUGGUGAUGUUUGCUCUGCUGCAUGUACUUGUCCUGCUGGCAUUGGUCUUCGUGGUUUUGGCAACUGUAACCAUGUUGGAGGUGUUCUCUUUGCUCUUGAAGACUUCAACACACGUGGUUUACGAGAGUAUUCAUCUGCUGUAUCAUGCACUUCAAAGCUGUCUUCUUAGAAUGUUCCAAAUGCAUCUGCUCUUAAAUCAAACAAUUCCUCUCCAAAAGAUGAAGUGAUAAUACAAAAAUCAAGUUUUGAAAGGACAAUGAUAAAAGUAAUUUGUCUCGCUAUAAAUUCUUUGAUCCACAUCUGAUAAAGCUAUCAAUGAUAA